UCGGGAAGCAGUCUUGGCUCCAGCCUGGCUUCUUCUGUCGUCCAGAUGCAGCCCAGCAUCUCAGAUGUGGGCCACUUGCAUCCUUCCUCCUCCUCUAGGUGGGCAACGCUUAGAGGGAGGGACCACUGGGAACUUAUCUCAUCCGUCCUGUCAUCCUCCAGACCAUCCUGGAAUACAGCUAUUGUGAGGGUUGGUGGCACUCUUUGGGACCUAAUUUCUUCCUUUACUGUUUGUUCACAAAUAAAUGGCAGACAACUUUCACUGGCUUAUUUGGGUGUAGCGAUAAUCUUUGUGAUUAGUAUUCAUUAAUUUAAUAGCUGCUGCUUAUAUAUUUCAAUAUGAUGCUUUUUUAAUGUUCGGAAUCCCAUGAAGCAAAAGUUAAAAAAGAGAGAGAGAACCCAAGAGAACUAUUCUGCACAUGCACAGAGAGCAACUCCUGCUUAGAACUCCCAGGCCCCCCUGUUUCCUACUGUAUGUCUGUCUGUCGUGGGCGCAUGUCGAUGGGCCGCAGCUGCCGGCACAGCAUUCCAAGCCCAAUUGUUCAUUGUGGAAAGGAUCUUUUUGUUCGGCUUCUUCUCCCCUAGCCCAUCACCUGCCCCACAAUCUGUUAGGCCCGAGCUGUGAAAGAGUGAGGGACGCUGGCAGCUGCCGAGCCCCUCGGGGUCUGCACAGGCCACCCUGGCUGGAGGAAGGUGGGGGUUUCAGCUUCAUGGCAUCUGAUUCUCUGGCAGGAAACAGGGAGUGUGCGAAGAGAAGAAUUGCACCCCAAAGAAGGUUUGAGGCUGAAGGCACUGACAAGGGCAGUUCAUGAAAUCUAUUAAUAAAAGUCAUAAAAAUAAGAACAAAUUCUUUUUAAACAUCCUCUCUAUGACAGGGAUUGUUCGGGGUGCUUUGCUUAGACGAGCUCCUUAAAUUCUCACUACUCUGUGAAAUCGCCAUUAUUUUUAUCUGGUUUUACAGAUGAGGGUCAUAGAAACGAACUGGUUUACAUAUACAUAAAUGGUAAUCGUUUAAAAAAACUAAUUGGGUUGGAGGGACAGUCUUGGACCAACCCAUGGAGAUAGACUUGCAGGGUAGGAGUUGAGAAGGAAGCAAGGGAGGGAGGAAACAGUAUGGGCUUUAUGCUUUGUGCACGUUUAUUCCUCUGCAGCUGUGCACUUGGUUUGCUGGUGCUGGUGGUGGCUUAGCAUUCAUAGUUUUUCUCAGGAAAAUAGGUAAAUGUCCUAGGCACCCCAUUUAAAAUGUUUCUGGCUGACCUUGGGAGUCAUCCAAUAACUCAUAUAAUACAAUCCAGCGGCCAUAUGAGCUUCUGCUACGAAAACAUGGUUCUCUCCCAUAGUCAAGUGCAAGCUUCAUAUGAGUGAGAAUAUGGGGCUGCUCUUCCUCUCCCAGGUUUGGGGACAGUGGUCAAUCAAAAGCAGCGGCUGAUGGGCAGGAGAGGCGGGGGGCCAAGGAGAAGCUGUGGCUGUGCCUUUGAGAAGAUUAAAAGGUCUCAUCUCUUCCAGUGAAUCAGGGAACUUAGGAGCUGAGACAAGUUUCCUUAUAACUAGUGAAACCUGUCAGAUCAAGAUCUUCCAAAGGGUUUGGCAUGUGAGUUUCAGAAGUGAAAGUUUGCACAGAUGAGAAAGACCACUGGGUUCUUUGGUCCAGAGAACUAGAAAGAACCAGCAUUAAUAGACUUGCCAUUCAUGAGCCAGCUGAGGCCCAGAAGGUGAUCAAUUUAUGUAAGAAUACAAAAGAAAUAGAUUUCCAGGGAAAUGGUGUGAGAUAACCAAGACAGUGCUAACCAUCCACUUGUGAGAAUGUCCCCAAUUUGGGUGUGAGUUGUUGUCUUUGUCAAGCUCAACCUCAUAUGGUCAAAAAGUCAAAAUUUGCCUUCAAAAUCUUCAGGAAAAAAAAACAACAAUAAAAACUUUUAAUAGCCAAUUACUUGAUCAUUCUUGAGUCUGAGGAACUAAAUUCUUAUUGACUUAGAACACAUAAAGAAUUGUGAACCCAAAGGUCAAGUUCGAAAUGGGAAUACCUAUGACAAAAGUCUUGUCUUAACACUCGUCCUGGUUUCCCUGGUCAUAACAAGAUGCAAGGAAGGAAAUCGAUGGAACAGAUUAGAAAAUGGAGUGAAAGUUGGGCUGGAAAAACAAAACAAACAAUGACAACAAAAUCAAAACAUUUCAGACGAGGCAUAAAUGCGGAAACGAAGCCUAGGAUGGAAUAUAAAGGCACGUUUCUCUGAGUUUUGCACAGGGCAAAAGGCAUUGAUAUGGCAGGCGCAUGUAGGUCUUUUCCAUACUAUUUGUUUGGUUUCUUACCUGCCCAAAUCUUCUGACUUUGGCAGGUGAUGCUAAUAGGAAGAAUGGGGAGUUUUGGUGUGUCACUUGGCCACUUGUGUGCUAUGUGAUAUUGGCGAAGUCCCCACCUUUCUGUCCCUCCUCUCUGCACCAGAUCCCAUGCCACUUAUCUGCAAAUAGUGGUUGUGUAACCCCAUCUGCCCAUCAUGGGGCAGGUUGGAGAUUAAUGACAUAACACACAUGAGGGUCUUGAGUUUCUUAGAACAGGCCGAUGGCAAUAUAAAAUGUCACUCACCAUGUUAUUGAAAGCAAGAUUUAUUUCUCCCUCCCUCUGCCCUGUAAUCAGACAGUUGUUUGAAAGCCUUAAAUUAAUUGUCCUUUCCCUUGUUCUUGAGAAUCAAGUACCAUUUUACAGCAUUUGGAACUUAAGUAACAGUAAAAGUAUCAUCAGAAAUGUAAACAGCAGACACAGUUCUUUUUCCUAUUUCUCUCUCCGAGCAGGGGAGUAUUUGAACAUAAAUGACUCAGACACAACAUUACAGAGAAGUGAGGAUGGUGAUUUCGCAUUAAUGCUCCUCAGAAAGCCUCUUAGAUUUGGGAAAAAUCAAGGGCGGGUUGAGACAGAGGGAAGUCUGGAUUAUAGACUAACACCAUGUAAUCUUCAAGGUUAUUGGCGGCAGAGGGGUGUGGGGAGGAAGAGCAUGGCCGGGGCAUCUGUGCAUUCUGGCUCUAUGACCUUGAGCAAGCUACUUAAGCUCCUUGAGCCUCAGUUUCCUCAUCUGUAAAGUGAGAAUAAUAAUACUGACUCAACAGGAGGCUUCAAUGAGGUAGAUUUAUGUAACAUGCUGUGAACACAGCGUUAGAUGUCUAAUAAGUAAUUCGUAUGACUAUUAUUUAAUAUUAAUUAAUAUAAAUACAGCAACUGAAACUACUCAGCACAUGAAGGUCUUUAUAUUUGAUUGACUAGUUUCAUUCAGAUGACAAUUGUUAUGCAAGGGGUGGUUCUAAGAUACUUGGGAAAGCUUAAAUAUUAUCAAAAAUAUUUCUCCCACAAUUUUGGUUUCUCUUUUUUUAAAAAAAAAUUUUCAUAUUUUGCUAUGUUUGAAAAGGAUUUGUUAAGAAAAGAUAUCCAUCAGCACCAUUUCUGACAAAAUUUUCAGGACUUUUAUGAAACAAUAUAGAUGAUGAGAUGCCCUGAGUGUCCCCUUAUUGACCACAAGGCCUUUGCCCUCUGACAACAGAUCUGACCUUGGUUAGACAUGUGUAUGCUGGAUGAGGAGAGGAAAUCAGGACUUCCUGCAGAAGAAAAAUCACCGGUGUCUCAUUCUCUGAAUUUCGAAUUUAGGCAUCUUAGCGCUCCCUAUCCUUUCUCUGCCCCACAGUUAGGCCGGGAAGUUUUAAACAAUCGGUAAUAAUUUCUUAAACUAUAAUCAAAAUUGCAUGCUUUUAUGGAGAUUAGAACUCCGCUAGCGUCUGCAGGAGGAGCGUCUGCAAAGAUACGGCCACCCCAAAGUCUGAGCACUUGUGACCUUAUACACUGGAAUCACUGCUGGUGUUCUUGGUGGCUGUCCAUGAAACAAGUUAUGCUGGAGUUCACCAAGUUACAAGCCAAAUUAUUUGUGGUUUACCAUCAUCUGGCUGAGGAGGUAGGAAAUAAAGCAGAGACCCCUCCUUUUAAGGCAAGUAUGGGGUAGUACGUUAGGGUAGGACCUUCUUUUUCCUAAGGCUCAGCCAGAACGUCUUGCUAUUUUUAGAGGACCGGCCAGUUCUGAAUAUUGAUUCAGUCAUGGGCAUGUGUCCCAUUUUAACUUCCCAGGGGCAGCCAGGAACAAGGCCAGCUUCGAAAGCCCAUCUUCUCUCCCUGCAGGCAUCCUGCCACCUUUCUCAGAAGAGGUGAGUAUUGGUGGCAUUUUGCCGUCACUGUUGUCCUUGCCCUGCCUCUCAUCAGAGCUGGAGAGCUGGAGCAGGCACUUCUGGGGAGGAUGGGGCAAAGCGUGGAGAGGGAGCCAACAUCAUACUAAGCUGUUUACCAUGUCGCUUCCAGCAAUUCUGUGGAGCAUGUCUUACUACACAGGAUGAAAUGGUCUCCAGCAGGUUAAGUACUGUGGAGGCAUAGAGUGCUUAAGAAACUCACCCAAAUCACACAGCUAGUAAAUGGCUGGCCUACGACUUGACCUCUCCAACCCAAAACACACCUUCAUUCAGAUAUGCCGUAUUUCGCAAACCUUGCCUGAUCCUUGGUGCUCCAGAGGCACUUUUUAAAACUCCCAUUCUUACACCCCACUCCAGAGCCAGGGAAUCAGAAUCUCCAGGAGAAGGGCUGGGUGUCCAUAUUUUUAACAAGCACGCCCACGGUGAUUUCAACGCUCAGUAAAUUUGAGAAAGAACAGCUCUAGGAGAGUUGCUUUUUGAACUUGAGUGAACAUCUGAAUCACAAGGGAGCUGUUAAAAUGCAGAUUAUUCUGAUUUGCUCUUAAAGGUGCUGAAAUAAGCCAUCUGGACCGGGACCCAGGAAUCUGCCUUUUUGCAACCACUCCUGAUUUGUUCUGUUGCAAGUGGGACUUUGAAAAACAUUGAUCUAAUGAUAAACAAGAAAGAGAGACACAGAUACUGAAGUAAUGAAAUCAUCAAUACUGGAAAGGACUCAUCUUACAACAGUCUAAGGGAAAUGACUUAGUUUGGAGUAAAGGAAGAAUUUCUUCAAACAUGGUAACAAAUGUUUAGACCCAGAACGGGGGAUCCCUCUCCACAACACGAAUAUUUAACAUAUUAACAACAGAAAGGGGAGCGGGUACUACUGUCCACACUGGACCACUGACAUCUUAUCUUUCCAAUGUUCUCUAUGCUCAGCUUCCACCUGGAAUGUUCUUUUCUCUUUGCCCAUCUUCACCAUUACUCCCUCUUUAAGGCUCAGCUCAAAAGACUUUCUCCAUAAAAUUUUCUUCCAGUUGUCUAGUUCCUGUUAUUGCACAUGUACUUGGGCACUUACCACAUCUCACCUAGCGGUCUGAUUCCUUGUGUCCCUGUAACGCGUGCAUCUCCUCUCAUAUGGGCUGGCAUCCUGACUGCCUCAUUUUUGAUUUCCCACACCACCCAGUGAAGGCCUUUGCUCAGUAAGGGUGGAGCAGAUAAAACUACCACCACCACACUUAGAGAGCACUUACUGUGUGCAGGCACUGUUCUCAGUGCUGUAACAAGUAACUUACAUUAUAAUAAUUCAUAUUUUAUGGAUGAAGGACACAGGCAGUGACGGAGAGGUUGUUCUUUGUGGAAGGGUCUCCUUUAGAAGCUAUAGCCCUGUAGGUGACCAGAGUCGCACCUGUAAGGAGAUCCGAGCUCUGUGGAUUCUGGAAAUAAAAAAUCUUAACCUUUGAAUUUAGUCUACCAGAGGCACCUGGAGGGCCAGGUAACACACAGAUUGCCAUCUCUGACCCCUAGAGUUUCUGAGUCAGUAGGUCUGAGUUGGGUCUGAGAAUAUGCAUCUCUAACAAUUUCCCAGGUGAUGCUGAUGCUGUUGGUCUGGGGACUGCACUUCGAGAACCACUGUUCUAGUGCAAUGUUUCUGACACUCAACAGUUCAGGGCAAGGAAUGGGACUCUUACAUUCUGACCUUCCUAAAAAUGAGAAGGUGAAGAAGAAGAGUAAAGCCACACAGAAGUCAGGAAGGUGUGACCCCUCUUCAAGAGUGUGGUUGUAGGAGCUUUCACCAAUGAGGGUGCAGACAGAUGGUCAACACUACGAAGAGAGGGGAAGCCCGUCUGUGAAGUUACCAAGGGUUCUCACUUAACGGCUUGUAAAUAACUGGGCCCAUCCCUUCACCUCCCAGUUCUUACCAAUAAAACUUAAGUGGAGUUUGGAGAAGAAUGGAUAAAAAAUGAGGUGAAUGUUUUUCUUGAGAAGACAGCCCAACAGAGGGUCCACUGACUCAUACGACCUCAUAUUGUAUUCGUGAAGAGAUCAUAAUGAUAAUACAACGUAAUAUAACGUAAUAAUACAGAAUGAUGAUAAAGCUCUUUAGCUCCAAAAUUUCUUAAGUUUUUUUUAAGUGCGCCUGUUAAGUUGAGUGAGCAUUAAGAAUUGCUUAAGGUCCAGGGGACAAAUAGGAGAAUCUGGUACUUGUCCUAGUUUUCCAAAGAAACACAUUGCUGAGGGACUGAGUUUCUUAGUUUUUGAAAACGAGGUAACACUUCACAUUGUCUUAGUGGGGACAUCUGUGAGGUCAUCCAAAACCUACUCCCAUUCAACGAUUGAUAUUGGAGAUAAAUUACUUAUCAGAAAUAAAUUCCUUUGAGUUACUUUGAAGAAAAUUUCAACAUACAUUCAAAAUAUUUUACCAAGGCACUGAAAGGGCAAGCAGCAAGUUCAAGGUCAUGCGCUGUCAAACUCUCAUCCAUCACUCCUAAAAUCUUAGCUCUUCUUUAGGUAAUUGAACAGCCCCUAGGGUGAUUGUGCGUGAUCUCCCCCUUUGAGCUUUCCUUAUCCCUCUGUCUUCCAUGCCCACCCUCCUCCCCCCGCCUGCCUUUGCUUUAAGCCCCAGCACACAGAAACGAGUCUGCUGUCAGUACCAGCCGACAAGUCAUUCCCAUGCACCAAUAACGUGGGCAGGGGCGAUCUCUCUCAUUCAUUUCCCCUCGCCUCGCUCUGCCUGAGGGAUCUGGAUUCUAGCAGUCCUCCCCCGCCGGUGUGAGAUGCAGAACGUGGAGCUUCACCUGCCCCUAUAGAUGCUGCCGUGCUGGCUCCAGAUGACAGAAGCAGAUCGCCUGCAGGGCUUCCCAAAAAUUCACAAAGAAAGAAAGACAGAUGGGCCAGGCAGGAACGCCCAGAGGACAAUUAGAGGAGAAAGAAGCCCGCGGGAGCAGCUCGAAAACUACCCUUCGCCCUGGGUCAUGGCAGAAAUGUGGGGCCUUGGACACCAGCUGUUCCCCAGGAGGUUUUCCCAGCUGCUGCUAUGGCCAACUCUGUGGUGGAGGAGCCCAGGGGUGGGGGAUUCCAAGAGCAGACAUUCCAUGUAGGAUGGAGCCAAACCAGGUCAAAGGCAGAACAGUUGAACUAUUUGGGAAACAGAUAUGAAUGCUGAGAGCACUUGUUUGCACAAAUAAGAAGGUGGAAAUGGAAGGAAUUUUAUGAUGGCAAUUUCUCAAAAUUCUUUGAUCAACAG
Long non-coding RNA from Equus caballus (horse), 7446 nucleotides. NCBI's taxonomy places the organism in Eukaryota, Metazoa, Chordata, Mammalia, Perissodactyla, Equidae. The record is from Ensembl.